AGAGUUUGAUUAUGGCUCAGAUUGAACGCUGGCGGAAUGCUUUACACAUGCAAGUCGAACGGCAGCACGGGUGCUUGCACCUGGUGGCGAGUGGCGAACGGGUGAGUAAUGCGUCGGAACGUACCGAGUAAUGGGGGAUAACGCGGCGAAAGUCGCGCUAAUACCGCAUACGCCCUGAGGGGGAAAGUGGGGGAUCGCAAGACCUCACGUUAUUCGAGCGGCCGACGUCUGAUUAGCUAGUUGGUGGGGUAAAGGCCUACCAAGGCGACGAUCAGUAGCGGGUCUGAGAGGAUGAUCCGUCACACUGGGACUGAGACACGGCCCAGACUCCUACGGGAGGCAGCAGUGGGGAAUUUUGGACAAUGGGGGCAACCCUGAUCCAGCCAUUCCGCGUGAGUGAAGAAGGCCUUCGGGUUGUAAAGCUCUUUCAGCUGGAACGAAACGGUACGCUCUAACAUAGCGUGCUAAUGACGGUACCGGCAGAAGAAGCACCGGCUAACUACGUGCCAGCAGCCGCGGUAAUACGUAGGGUGCGAGCGUUAAUCGGAAUUACUGGGCGUAAAGCGUGCGCAGGCGGAUUGUUAAGCAAGACGUGAAAGCCCCGGGCUUAACCUGGGAAUGGCGUUUUGAACUGGCAGUCUAGAGUGCGUCAGAGGGGGGUGGAAUUCCACGUGUAGCAGUGAAAUGCGUAGAGAUGUGGAGGAACACCAAUGGCGAAGGCAGCCCCCUGGGAUGACACUGACGCUCAUGUACGAAAGCGUGGGUAGCAAACAGGAUUAGAUACCCUGGUAGUCCACGCCCUAAACGAUGUCAACUGGUUGUUGGGGGAGUGAAAUCCCUUAGUAACGAAGCUAACGCGUGAAGUUGACCGCCUGGGGAGUACGGUCGCAAGAUUAAAACUCAAA
This 905-nucleotide ribosomal RNA is filed under the name uncultured bacterium. RNAcentral's name for it is "bacterial SSU rRNA". It matches the Rfam family "Bacterial small subunit ribosomal RNA", at positions 8 to 905 of the family's 1533-position model. The record is from RNAcentral.